Molecule: unclassified non-coding RNA, 90 nt
Filed under: Pseudomonas granadensis
Lineage: Bacteria; Pseudomonadati; Pseudomonadota; Gammaproteobacteria; Pseudomonadales; Pseudomonadaceae
Source: RNAcentral
UGUAGGAGUGAGCCUGCUCGCGAUAGCGGUCUGUCAGUUACCAAUAAUGCUUUCUGAUACACCGCAAUCGCGAGCAGGCUCACUCCUACA